RNAcentral lists this ribosomal RNA (440 nucleotides) under uncultured bacterium. Its description in RNAcentral is "partial 16S ribosomal RNA". It matches the Rfam family "Bacterial small subunit ribosomal RNA", at positions 338 to 795 of the family's 1533-position model. The record is from RNAcentral.
CCUACGGGUGGCAGCAGUGGGGGAUAUUGCACAAUGGGGGGAACCCUGAUGCAGCGACGCCGCGUGGGUGAAGAAGCGCCUCGGCGCGUAAAGCCCUGUCAGCAGGGAAGAAAAUGACGGUACCUGAAGAAGAAGCCCCGGCUAACUACGUGCCAGCAGCCGCGGUAAUACGUAGGGGGCAAGCGUUAUCCGGAUUUACUGGGUGUAAAGGGGGCGCAGACGGCGAUGCAAGCCAGGAGGGAAGGCCCGGGGCCCAACCCCGGGACUGCUCUUGGAACUGCGUGGCUGGGGUGCAGGAGGGGCGGGAGGAAUCCCGGGUGUAGGGGUGAAGUGCGGAGAUAUCAGGAGGAACACCGGUGGAGAGGGCGGCCUGCUGGACUGCAACGGACGUUGAGCCCCGAAGGCGUGGGGAGCAAACAGGAUGAGAGACCCUAGUAGUC